Molecule: ribosomal RNA, 653 nt
Filed under: Salmonella enterica
Lineage: Bacteria; Pseudomonadati; Pseudomonadota; Gammaproteobacteria; Enterobacterales; Enterobacteriaceae
Also listed under: 2 other names
Description: partial 23S ribosomal RNA
Rfam family: Bacterial large subunit ribosomal RNA
Source: RNAcentral
GUGGGUAGUUUGACUGGGGCGGUCUCCUCCUAAAGAGUAACGGAGGAGCACGAAGGUUGGCUAAUCCUGGUCGGACAUCAGGAGGUUAGUGCAAUGGCAUAAGCCAGCUUGACUGCGAGCGUGACGGCGCGAGCAGGUGCGAAAGCAGGUCAUAGUGAUCCGGUGGUUCUGAAUGGAAGGGCCAUCGCUCAACGGAUAAAAGGUACUCCGGGGAUAACAGGCUGAUACCGCCCAAGAGUUCAUAUCGACGGCGGUGUUUGGCACCUCGAUGUCGGCUCAUCACAUCCUGGGGCUGAAGUAGGUCCCAAGGGUAUGGCUGUUCGCCAUUUAAAGUGGUACGCGAGCUGGGUUUAGAACGUCGUGAGACAGUUCGGUCCCUAUCUGCCGUGGGCGCUGGAGAACUGAGGGGGGCUGCUCCUAGUACGAGAGGACCGGAGUGGACGCAUCACUGGUGUUCGGGUUGUCAUGCCAAUGGCACUGCCCGGUAGCUAAAUGCGGAAGAGAUAAGUGCUGAAAGCAUCUAAGCACGAAACUUGCCCCGAGAUGAGUUCUCCCUGAGACUUAGAGUCUCCUGAAGGAACGUUGAAGACGACGACGUUGAUAGGCCGGGUGUGUAAGCGCAGCGAUGCGUUGAGCUAACCGGUACUAAUGAA